UUCGAGCAACGCGAAAAACCUUACCUACCCUUGACAUGGUCAGGACCCUGUGAAAGGCGGGGGUCCCGAAAGGGAACUGAUACACAGGUGCUGCAUGGCGUCGUCAGCUCGUGUCGUGAGAUGUUGGGUUAAGUCCCGCAACGAGCGCAACCCUUGUCCCUAGUUGCUACGCAAGAGCACUCUAGGGAGACUGCCGGUGACAAACCGGAGGAAGGUGGGGAUGACGUCAAGUCCUCAUGGCCCUUAUGGGUAGGGCUUCACACGUCAUACAAUGGUCGGAACAGAGGGUCGCCAACCCGCGAGGGGGAGCCAAUCCCAGAAAACCGAUCGUAGUCCGGAUCGCACUCUGCAACUCGAGUGCGUGAAGCUGGAAUCGCUAGUAAUCGCGGAUCAGCAUGCCGCGGUGAAUACGUUCCCGGGUCUUGUACACACCGCCCGUCACACCAUGGGAGUGGGUUU
RNAcentral lists this ribosomal RNA (459 nucleotides) under Burkholderia sp. RNAcentral describes it as "bacterial SSU rRNA". It matches the Rfam family "Bacterial small subunit ribosomal RNA", at positions 950 to 1417 of the family's 1533-position model. Lineage: Bacteria; Pseudomonadati; Pseudomonadota; Betaproteobacteria; Burkholderiales; Burkholderiaceae. The record is from RNAcentral.